GAUGAACGCUGGCGGCGUGCCUAAUACAUGCAAGUCGAACGAACGGACGAGAAGCUUGCUCCUCUGAUGUUAGCGGCGGACGGGUGAGUAACACGUGGAUAACCUACCUAUUAGCCGGGGAUAACUUCGGGAAACCGGAGCUAAUACCGGAUAAUAUUUUGAACCGCAUGGUUCAAAAGUGAAAGACGGUAUUGCUGUCACUUAUAGAUGGAUCCGGGUUGCAUUAGUUAGUGGGUAAGGUAACGCCUUACAAAGGCAACGAUGCAUAGCCGACCUGAGGGGUGGGUCGCCCACACGGGAACGGAGACCCGCUCCGGAUCCUUCCGGGGGGCACCGUAAGGGAAUUUUGCGCAUGGGGCGAAAGCUGAACGGGGCAACCCGGGGGGAGUGAUGAGGUUCUCGGGUCGUUAAACUCUGUUGUUUGGGAAGGAAGAUAUUUGUAGGUAACUGUGCACAUUGUGACGGUACCUAACCAGAAAGCCACGGCUAACUACGUG
This 497-nucleotide ribosomal RNA is filed under the name uncultured bacterium. RNAcentral describes it as "partial 16S ribosomal RNA". It matches the Rfam family "Bacterial small subunit ribosomal RNA", at positions 28 to 507 of the family's 1533-position model. The record is from RNAcentral.